RNAcentral lists this ribosomal RNA (614 nucleotides) under Dirkmeia churashimaensis. RNAcentral describes it as "LSU rRNA". It matches the Rfam family "Eukaryotic large subunit ribosomal RNA", at positions 72 to 667 of the family's 3401-position model. Lineage: Eukaryota; Fungi; Basidiomycota; Ustilaginomycetes; Ustilaginales; Ustilaginaceae. The record is from RNAcentral.
GGAUUCCCCUAGUAACGGCGAGUGAAGAGGGAAGAGCCCAAGAUUGAAAGCUGGCGUCUUCGGCGUCCGCAUUGUAAUCUCAAGAAGUGUUUUCCGCUUCGGACCAUGCCUAAGUCCCUUGGAAAAGGGCAUCAUAGAGGGUGAUAAUCCCGUACAUGGCAUGGAGCGCCCGAAGCUUUGUGAUACGCUUUCUAAGAGUCGAGUUGUUUGGGAAUGCAGCUCAAAAUGGGUGGUAAAUGCCAUCUAAGGCUAAAUAUUGGGGAGAGACCGAUAGCGAACAAGUACAGUGAUGGAAAGAUGAAAAGAACUUUGAAAAGAGAGUUAAACAGUACGUGAAAUUGCCAAAAGGGAAGGGUAGGAGGUCAGAGAUGCGGCCUGGGAUUCAGCCUUGCUUUUGCUUGGUGUUUUUCCCAGAUUGCAGGCCAACGUCGGUUUUGGGCACUGGAGAAGGGUAGGAGGAACGUGGCACCUCUCGGGGUGUGUUAUAGCCUCCUACUGGAUACAGCGACCGAGACCGAGGACAGCAGCGUACUCGCAAGAGCGGGCCUUCGGGCACCUUUACGCUUAGGGCGUUGGCAUAAUGGCCCUCUACCACCCGUCUUGAACCACGGACC